AGAGUUUGAUCCUGGCUCAGAACGAACGCUGGCGGCGCGUUUUAAGCAUGCAAGUCGAGGGGUAGGAUGCCUUCGGGUAUCUGAGACCGGCGAACGGGUGAGUAACACGUAGGUGAUCUACCGCGAGGUUGGGGAUAGCCCAUGGAAACAUGGGGUAAUACCGAAUGAGCUUUCACGACUGUGGUUGUGGAAGGAAAGGGGCUUUGGCCCCGCCUUGUGAUGAGCCUGCGGCUGAUUAGCUAGUUGGUGGGGUAAAGGCCUACCAAGGCAACGAUCAGUAGCCGGCCUGAGAGGGCGAUCGGCCACACUGGGACUGAGAUACGGCCCAGACUCCUACGGGAGGCAGCAGCUAAGAAUCUUCCGCAAUGGACGAAAGUCUGACGGAGCGACGCCGCGUGGGUGAAGAAGGCCGUGAGGUUGUAAAGCCCUUUUCUACCUGAGGAAUAAGCCUGGGAGGGAAUGCCUGGGUGAUGACGGUAGGGUAGGAAUAAGCCCCGGCUAAUUACGUGCCAGCAGCCGCGGUAACACGUAUGGGGCGAGCGUUGUUCGGAAUUAUUGGGCGUAAAGGGCGUGUAGGCGGAUAUGCAAGUCUGGUGUGAAAGACCGCAGCUCAACUGCGGGUACGCGCUGGAAACUGUAUGUCUUGAAUCCUUGAGGGGGAACUGGAAUUCCUGGUGUAGGGGUGAAAUCUGUAGAUAUCAGGAAGAACACCGGUGGCGAAGGCGAGUUCCUGGCAAGUGAUUGACGCUGAGGCGCGAAAGCGUGGGUAGCAAACAGGAUUAGAUACCCUGGUAGUCCACGCUGUAAACGAUGUGCACUAGGUGUUGGGGUGUUGAAACCUCAGUACCGGAGCUAACGUGGUAAGUGCACCGCCUGGGGAGUAUGCCGGCAACGGUGAAACUCAAAGGAAUUGACGGGGGCCCGCACAAGCGGUGGAGCAUGUGGUUUAAUUCGAUGAUACGCGAGGAACCUUACCAGGGUUUGACAUAUACCGGGAGUCGUGGGAGACCACGGUGCCCUUCGGGGCCGGUAUACAGGUGCUGCAUGGCUGUCGUCAGCUCGUGCCGUGAGGUGUUGGGUU
This 1081-nucleotide ribosomal RNA is filed under the name marine metagenome. Its description in RNAcentral is "bacterial SSU rRNA". It matches the Rfam family "Bacterial small subunit ribosomal RNA", at positions 8 to 1081 of the family's 1533-position model. The record is from RNAcentral.